GCCCGGUUAGCACAGUAGGGAGUAUUCGCCCUGUAAGCGAGGUGUCCCGGGUUCGAGUCCCGGACUGGAUG
Molecule: transfer RNA, 71 nt
Filed under: Dreissena polymorpha
Lineage: Eukaryota; Metazoa; Mollusca; Bivalvia; Myida; Dreissenidae
Rfam family: tRNA
About the family: Transfer RNA (tRNA) molecules are approximately 80 nucleotides in length. Their secondary structure includes four short double-helical elements and three loops (D, anti-codon, and T loops). Further hydrogen bonds mediate the characteristic L-shaped molecular structure. tRNAs have two regions of fundamental functional importance: the anti-codon, which is responsible for specific mRNA codon recognition, and the 3' end, to which the tRNAs corresponding amino acid is attached (by aminoacyl-tRNA synthetases). tRNAs cope with the degeneracy of the genetic code in two manners: having more than one tRNA (with a specific anti-codon) for a particular amino acid; and 'wobble' base-pairing, i.e. permitting non-standard base-pairing at the 3rd anti-codon position.
Source: Rfam by way of RNAcentral